UUUCGUUCUUGUUUUUGCUAAUUGUCGUGCAAAACCUCUAAAUCUAUGUACGCAAGUUGUCGUCAAACUGAAAUCCGUUCUAGAGAGAUCACCAUUACGUUGUGCGUCUUGAAUGUUUAUGGGUGCAGUAAGAGUAGAGCCAAGGAGCUGGUACGUGCACGAUGAAAAUCGAAAUAAUACGAUUCGCUUUCAGUGUUUUGGAGCAACUCGCGCGGUAUGGCUAUUUAACGGACAACCGAUAUCUCGCUUGAAUGCAACAGAAUCGAGAAUAGUUAGCAAGCAUAUGAUUCAAAUUACUACGUUUCGAUUCGAGUUUGCUGGAGUGUAUACAUGCAGAAACUCGUGGGCCGGAAAAGAAGAAGCUAACGCAACACUGCAAGUUCAGCCUGAGUUUGCUGAUCCUCGAUCUAUUGGAAAGAUUGUAGCCUCUGGUGGUCGUGUUGAGUUGAACUGUUCUAUUAGAGCACACGUUUAUCCUCCUGCUACGCUAGAAUGGAUGAAACGAGGCAUUAAUGCUGUAAUACGACUUGGUGUACAAGAACGGUACUCUGUGUCGCAAGCUAGACUGGAGGACUCUGGUGAAUACAUCUGCAUAGCCACAAACAAGUACGCUUGGGCGUUUGCAACAAAAUCAAUAUUCUUGAAAGUGUACGGUAAGUAACUUUAGUAAUAUAAUGAUCAAUUUGAAAAUCGUAUAAAUUGAGAGCAUGCAGUGGCGAAUUCAGAAAGAGAGGGAGCGCAGCAGCUCUGCAUGAAAGAGAGGGAGCACAGCAGCUCUGUAUGACUCUCGUCUAGGCUCUGGCUUCAGUAGAACCGAUCUCUAGAAGCAUUGAACGCUCCAACUGUAUUUUGUACUAUAUAUAACUAAAUCUUGUAAAAACUCUAUUUUAUCCUAUGAGCAUGACAAUGAAAAGUGACGUCAUAAAUCACAAUUCGUAAUCGCUACCAAUUUUUAAGAGAAUUAUGAAUUCGCCACUAGAGAUUUAGAAAUGCGUUUGCAGAACCGGGAUAUUGUCGCCUCGAACACGUUCAUAUAGAUAACGCAGGCACAAACGUAUCUGUGACGAUCGAGACGUUUGGCACACUACCUGCUAACUUCUCUGUCAUCUCUCCAUGGCGCAACAUACAGAGAAACGAAGCCGGACAGAUCGUUUUGUCUCGAUCUCUUUACGGUUUCAACGGAUCGACGUCUCAGGUGUUUGGUAAGCUAACUCAGUUGGUCACCAAUAGAAAAUGGGAUCAGACAUUGACAGAGAAAUGCAUGGCUAAUGUCGACUUAGGGACGGGGUCGACUAAACGUUGGAAAGUGUGUUUGCUGAUUUUCUACACACCAAACGGUUCACUUUGUAAAAUCAAAUACCAUGUUCAGGUCGGUUUGUUAUUAUUGCAGCUGGUUAGAGACAUGUUCAACUACUUUGAAUGUCACUUUACGUGGAAACUGCACUCAGUGUUUGUUAAAAGCAACCACAGUUGCUCGUCACUAAGGAUAGGAGCCACAGUGACGAGCAUUACAGAUUCACUCGCCUGCCAGAUUUUUUCUAGAUUUGAGUCUUGGCUUUCACGUUGGAAAUCCACGAAUGCAAUGGUUGAAAGAGUAAAUAUUCAACGCAGUCUUGAGCACUCAAGAGCAAAAACACAGUACUGUAAAGCACAAGCAUUAUCAAGUAUUGCCAAGUUCAACAAUUGUCACAGAGUCAUAUAUUGUUAUAAGAAAUCAAACGUGAAAGACAAAACUGUUUGUCAAUUACGAAAUAUGUCAUACAAGAAGAUCCACGAGGUCACUAAGCAGUCUACAAGAAAGAACUCCACUAAGAACUUAAGAUUCUACUGCAAUGUUGACGAUAGUAACUAAAUUAACUAAAAAUGGAAGAUAAUUAUGCGCGUGCGUGCAAAACACAUUAAAUGUAAUUACUGUACAAAGGGUUUGACUGCUAUAGUUAAAAUACCAUAUUUAAAUUUAAGUCUGUGUAAUACAAUUACUAAUUUAUUGUAGAUGUAGCUUAUGUAGUAAAUAGUGUUUCCAUAGCAACAUUAUCGUAAUGACGUCACAUAAUGUGACACAUGCACAGAUACGAUCUGCACGUACUGCUGAAUUUUAGGUCAUUGACAAGGCUAUAUCCAUUUAUGACGUAGCCUGUUUUAUUCUAAAUUUUUUAACGUUAUUUCAAGUAAUAAUGAUAGCAAGAAAGAGAUUUAAUUAAUUAGCAAAGGCUCGAGCAGUCUAGGGAGUAACUAAAAAUGUGAGUGAGUGAA
This is a long non-coding RNA of Corticium candelabrum, 2253 nucleotides long. RefSeq lists it as uncharacterized. The record is from RefSeq and is a predicted model, not a curated record. NCBI's taxonomy places the organism in Eukaryota, Metazoa, Porifera, Homoscleromorpha, Homosclerophorida, Plakinidae. The transcript has 5 exons.